This 492-nucleotide ribosomal RNA is filed under the name uncultured bacterium. Its description in RNAcentral is "bacterial SSU rRNA". It matches the Rfam family "Bacterial small subunit ribosomal RNA", at positions 21 to 507 of the family's 1533-position model. The record is from RNAcentral.
GGCUCAGAUUGAACGCUGGCGGCGUGCUUUACACAUGCAAGUCGAGCGGCAGCAUGACCUUCGGGUCGAUGGCGAGCGGCGAACGGGUGAGUAAUACAUCGGAACGUACCUUUUAGUGGGGGAUAACGCAUCGAAAGAUGUGCUAAUACCGCAUAAUCUCUGAGCAGGAAAGCAGGGGGAUCGCAAGACCUUGCGCUUUGGGAGCGGCCGAUGUCGGAUUAGCUAGUUGGUGGGGUAAAGGCCUACCAAGGCGACGAUCCGUAGCGGGUCUGAGAGGAUGAUCCGCCACACUGGGACUGAGACACGGCCCAGACUCCUACGGGAGGCAGCAGUGGGGAAUUUUGGACAAUGGGCGGAAGCCUGAUCCAGCCAUGCCGCGUGAGUGAAGAAGGCCUUCGGGUUGUAAAGCUCUUUCGGCGGGGAAGAAAUUGCUUGGGUUAAUACCCUGAGUAGAUGACGGUACCCGAAUAAGAAGCACCGGCUAACUACGUG